RNAcentral lists this ribosomal RNA (497 nucleotides) under uncultured bacterium. RNAcentral's name for it is "partial 16S ribosomal RNA". It matches the Rfam family "Bacterial small subunit ribosomal RNA", at positions 28 to 507 of the family's 1533-position model. The record is from RNAcentral.
GAUGAACGCUGGCGGCGUGCCUAAUACAUGCAAGUCGAGCGAACAGACGAGGAGCUUGCUCCUCUGACGUUAGCGGCGGACGGGUGAGUAACACGUGGAUAACCUACCUAUAAGACUGGGAUAACUUCGGGAAACCGGAGCUAAUACCGGAUAAUAUAUUGAACCGCAUGGUUCAAUAGUGAAAGACGGUUUUGCUGUCACUUAUAGAUGGAUCCGCGCCGCAUUAGCUAGUUGGUAAGGUAACGGCUUACCAAGGCAACGAUGCGUAGACGACCUGAGAGGGUGAUAGGCCACACUGGAACUGAGACACGGUCCAGACUCCUACGGGAGGCAGCAGUAGGGAAUCUGACGCAAUGGGCGAAAGCCUGGCGGAGCAACGCCGCGUGAGUGAUGAAGGUCUUCGGAUCGUAAAACUCUGUUAUUAGGGAAGAACAAAUGUGUAAGUAACUAUGCACGUCUUGACGGUACCUAAUCAGAAAGCCACGGCUAACUACGUG